UUGAAACGAUUGACAACAUGAUGACGCUUGAUGAAAACAACAACACAUGCAAAUCCUGUGGAUGACAGAUAAUAAUGACACUUAAACAGCUCAUUUUCCUGCUCAUAAAUCUGACAGGCAGACCGUUAAAAUGGAGGAAUCCAGCAUGUCAAGGCGAUUCACCUCUCAACUCUACAGGAUCAGUGAAGUGUUGUGGACUGUAAACCUGUUGAACAGAAGCAGAGACGUGUGGACAGACACUGACUGUACUGAUGAGGAUCAUCUGCUGCUGCACAGGCUGUAAAGUAUAACCCCUGCUGGACACUGCACUGGAAGCUCCAGGGGAAGACUGAACUGGUAUCCACCCUUCUUCAGGCGCGCCUCACACUCACUCACCAUUCACUCAUAUCGCAGAGAUCUGGCUGGGAUCAACCCAGCAACCCCUGAAGCUCUUACCACAGACAUAUUAUCUGGAUGCACGCUUAGAUUUGCAAGCUGAGACCGCAUAUCUCACACUUGCAAUGUCAGACACAAUCAAGAACUAGUGAUGUCACUGUGAGGGGUGGGGUUAAGUGUGAGCAUUAAAACCAUUACAUGCAACUCAACUUGCAACUGCACCAAUCCUUAUCCAUCUGAACACCUGCUGGAGCUGAUGUUAGACUGCUGAGCUGUGAACUCACAAUAAAGAACUGAAUAAAAAUAAA
This is a long non-coding RNA of Danio aesculapii, 683 nucleotides long. RefSeq lists it as uncharacterized. The transcript has 3 exons. The record is from RefSeq and is a predicted model, not a curated record. NCBI's taxonomy places the organism in Eukaryota, Metazoa, Chordata, Actinopteri, Cypriniformes, Danionidae.